RNAcentral lists this long non-coding RNA (454 nucleotides) under Nicotiana tabacum (common tobacco). RNAcentral's name for it is "long non-coding RNA (NTAB_LNC015585)". The record is from RNAcentral. Lineage: Eukaryota; Viridiplantae; Streptophyta; Magnoliopsida; Solanales; Solanaceae.
AAACAAAAUCAACCCCUCUAUUGAUUUCUUUGAGGUCCUCUUAAUAUUAGAAUCAGAUGUUUGGAUUUGGGGGAACAGAAAUAGCUACGUAUAAGCUGAGUCGUUCAUCCUUGGGGCAAGCUCUACUUGAUAGAUUUCUCGAACUGAAUAGUCGUGAGUCGAGAUGGUUAUCUUUAGCCUUACAGUAUUUUCACAUAUUUCUUUAUAAUUUUGGUCUUAACAUUUAUUACUUUAUGUGUUGAUAUACCUAUUAAUUUCAAUAUUUUCAAUUAUUUUUGCAGGUGGGAUUAAAAUCGUAAAGGAAGAAUCAAAGGAUCAGCCGCCUUCACACCCUAGAUUUGACAAAUAAGAAAUUACUGUUUUAACGGAGGAGAUGCAAACAAAGAUGGAGAAACUUCAAGAUGACAUGAAUAGCAUAAAGCAACAACAUGAAGUGUCAACUAUGUGUGCCAAU